AGGAAUAUUGGUCAAUGGGCGCGAGCCUGAACCAGCCAAGUAGCGUGAAGGAUGAAGGUCCUACGGAUUGUAAACUUCUUUUAUAAGGGAAUAAAGUCACCCACGUGUGGGUGUUUGUAUGUACCUUAUGAAUAAGCAUCGGCUAACUCCGUGCCAGCAGCCGCGGUAAUACGGAGGAUGCGAGCGUUAUCCGGAUUUAUUGGGUUUAAAGGGAGCGUAGACGGGCCGUUAAGUCAGCUGUGAAAGUUUGAGGCUCAACCUUAAAAUUGCAGUUGAUACUGGCGUCCUUGAGUACGGUUGAGGCAGGCGGAAUUCGUGGUGUAGCGGUGAAAUGCUUAGAUAUCACGAAGAACCCCGAUUGCGAAGGCAGCCUGCUAAACCGCCACUGACGUUGAGGCUCGAAAGUGUGGGUAUCAAACAGGAUUAGAUACCCUGGUAGUCCACACGGUAAACGAUGGAUACUCGCUGUUGGCGAUAGACUGUCAGCGGCUUAGCGAAAGCGUUAAGUAUCCCACCUGGGGAGUACGCCGGCAACGGUGAAACUCAAAGGAAUUGACGGGGGCCCGCACAAGCGGAGGAACAUGUGGUUUAAUUCGAUGAUACGCGAGGAACCUUACCCGGGCUUGAAUUGCAACUGAAUGAUGUGGAGACAUGUCAGCCGCAAGGCAGUUGUGAAGGUGCUGCAUGGUUGUCGUCAGCUCGUGCCGUGAGGUGUCGGCUUAAGUGCCAUAACGAGCGCAACCCUUAUCGAUAGUUACCAUCAGGUUAUGCUGGGGACUCUGUCGAGACUGCCGUCGUAAGAUGUGAGGAAGGUGGGGAUGACGUCAAAUCAGCACGGCCCUUACGUCCGGGGCUACACACGUGUUACAAUGGGGGGUACAGCAGGCAGCUACCGGGCGACCGGAUGCCAAUCCCGAAAGCCUCUCUCAGUUCGGACUGGAGUCUGCAACCCGACUCCACGAAGCUGGAUUCGCUAGUAAUCGCGCAUCGGCCACGGCGCGGUGAAUACGUUCCCG
This 1016-nucleotide ribosomal RNA is filed under the name uncultured bacterium. RNAcentral describes it as "bacterial SSU rRNA". It matches the Rfam family "Bacterial small subunit ribosomal RNA", at positions 357 to 1376 of the family's 1533-position model. The record is from RNAcentral.